Molecule: transfer RNA, 24 nt
Filed under: Odontarrhena tortuosa
Lineage: Eukaryota; Viridiplantae; Streptophyta; Magnoliopsida; Brassicales; Brassicaceae
Also listed under: 1 other name
Description: partial tRNA-His
Source: RNAcentral
CUUAUCCACUUGGCUACAUCCGCC